Molecule: non-coding RNA, 1516 nt
Organism: Chlorocebus sabaeus (green monkey)
Lineage: Eukaryota; Metazoa; Chordata; Mammalia; Primates; Cercopithecidae
Source: RefSeq, a predicted model, not a curated record
CUUGUGUGGCAGGUGGAGGUGGGGCCAGACCGGCCGGGAAAGGGGGGCUUCUGGGGCUGGCUCUCUGGAUUCUCCAGAAUUCUACGGAAACUGGAAGUUUCUCUCUGGGCUCACACACGAUUUCAGGGAGAAACCACCCUGAAAGGGUAGAGUGCGGAACUGAACCUCCAUGACAGUCUUGAGCUUUCCAGGCCCUCUCUGUGAAGGCGACAAUGCCAGUGGGUGUCGCCGAUGCCGUGAUAGUCUCACACACGCAGGUGUGUGAAUCUCGUUCAUUUUCAUGUAGAAAACGAGAGCGAAACCACAGAGAAAAGAAACGUCCCAGGCAUCACAGCCUGGCGAUGGAUUCCUGUUUCCUGCAACGUGGGGAGUCUCCACUGUGGCCGGUUUGGAAACUGGAAAGGAGAGCACCGACACGGUGCUCCUCUUCCACUCUUCCCUGGAGGUUUCUGGGUCCCCACAGAGCUCGGGAAACAGUCAACAUGAUCUCGCUUUUGGGGGCCAGAGACACGUGAGCAACAGGCCCCCUUGUAGAUGGCAAAGGAACGUGGAACCCGAAACCACGAAACCACGUUUCAGUCGGCCUGAGUGCGACUCCUGCGUGGACGGGACUAUCUACCUCGGGCUCUGUUGCAAGCCCAAUCUGGGGCUAUGUCAUCUGUGAACCAUGUGGAUGAAAAACGGACGACCACCGGAGUCUCCGCUCAUUGCUCUCUGGGGCAAUUCGCUCAUUCCUUGGGAGACGGAAUUCGUCUGAAUUGCUCCGGGAUGAAGUGACCCGGGCUGGCCAUCCGGAGGGCCGGUGAGCGCCCCGCAGGCCGACGCGGCAGUGGGCCGGGCACUCAGCCUGCACUGGGCACCCAACAUUUUCCCGGAGUCGAGGUCCUGCUGGUCCUGGAGGCAGAACACGGCUUUUCUCUCUGCCUUGCUCUCUCUGUCUCUUGCUCCCUCCCCCCGUGUUUCCCUCCGUCCCGCCCUCAGUUCCUCCCUCCGUCCCUCUAUCCCUCUAUCUCUUCUAAGGUCCCUCCGUUCAUCCGUUCUUUCCUCCCUCCAUCGCUCCCUCUCUGUCUCCGUUCCUCUCCCCAUCUCUGCCUGCGUUCCCUCCCGCGUAGAAAGGGCAGCACCCGGGUUUGCGCGGGGUCUCCGGUCUGCAUUUAGCUGUCAGGCUCUCCAAGGUGAUGCACAGAUCAUCUCCUGUUAGCAGUAAUAUCCCGUCACCACUAUACUUUUGACUCAGAACGUACAACAUGAAGAGGAAACGUGAAUGUGCACUGUAAGCUUUGAGCGACAAUGAAGGGUCAAGGUCCACCUGCACAUCUACAAAUGGAUGCAUAUUCAAUGUUUUGUACUGCAGCACUGUGGAUAUGAGCAAAAGACUGGAAACAGCCUACAUUUCCAUCUAUAAGAGACUAAACAAAUUAAGGUUGCAAGGGCUGGUGGUCUCUCAUCUCGAUGGCGCCUGCUGAGCCCUGGAACAUGCGGCUGUGGUCCAAGGCGAUUUAAACCUGUGUCGCAG